This 55-nucleotide transfer RNA is filed under the name Sulabanus mamasensis. RNAcentral describes it as "partial tRNA-Ser". Lineage: Eukaryota; Metazoa; Arthropoda; Insecta; Coleoptera; Lycidae. The record is from RNAcentral.
AUUGAAAUAUUAAUUAAAAAGCUUCUAACUUUUUCAAAAGCAUUAAUUUGUUUAU